GUGCUCACUUUGGCAGCACAUAUACUAAAAUUCAAACGAUACAGAGAAGAUUAGCAUGGCCCCUGCGCAAGGAUGACGUGCAAAUUUGUGAAGCGUUCCAUAUUUUC
Callithrix jacchus (white-tufted-ear marmoset) is the source of this 107-nucleotide small nuclear RNA. The record is from Ensembl. NCBI's taxonomy places the organism in Eukaryota, Metazoa, Chordata, Mammalia, Primates, Cebidae.